GCGUUAUCCGGAUUUAUUGGGCGUAAAGAGCUCGUAGGCGGCCGUCUGCGUCGGAUGUUAAAGCUCAGGGCUUAACUCUGAGAGGUCAUUCGAUACGGGACGGCUAGAGGUAGGUAGGGGAAAGUGGAAUUCCUGGUGUAGCGGUGAAAUGCGCAGAUAUCAGGAGGAACACCGGUGGCGAAGGCGGCUUUCUGGGCCUUACCUGACGCUGAGGAGCGAAAGCUGG
Molecule: ribosomal RNA, 226 nt
Filed under: uncultured bacterium
Lineage: Bacteria
Description: partial 16S ribosomal RNA
Rfam family: Bacterial small subunit ribosomal RNA
Source: RNAcentral